AUGUUCACCACCUCCGUUCAUGAUGGAUUCCAUCGAGCGUGUUCCCUCUGCACCUCGGGGUCCUCCGCCGGCGACGGCCCCAUCGAGACCUCCACUACGACGCCCCCAUCAAGCUCGCGGCCGACCGUGUUCUCUCCCGCAUCAGCCUGUCGCUGCGCCUCGGUCCUCCUCCGAGGAAUGUCGUCUGAUGACGAACACGAUUUCAUUAUGUGCGAAUACUGCGAAGACCAGCGCGGCCUGUGCGGCAGAAAUUUUCUAGUUGAUGAUAGACGCUUCAGCAUCAAGCUGGAUGAGAACUUCGAAGUGGAUACACGUAUCCCCUGCCAUGCAAGAAUUUUUGUCUUGGAUAAGAUAGGUUUCAGUCCUAACGAAACUAUGGAGGUAAAAAGAGUUUACUUGAAGACCGAACAUGGUUAUACCUUCAACAUCAAAUUAUACAAUGCAGACACAUACACCUAUUUUGAAUGCAAAACUUGGCAAGCACUAUGCAAGGCUUAUGCAUUUGAGCCUGAUAUGGUUAUCACCUUUGAUAUUCGUCCGGAAGAUGAUAUUGAAGGUAAUAGAGACAUCUGGGUCGAUGUGCAGACGCCUCCAGUUCUACCAUUAUCAAACAUGUCCGGCGCUUGGUAG
RNAcentral lists this ribosomal RNA (630 nucleotides) under Triticum aestivum (bread wheat). Its description in RNAcentral is "partial small subunit ribosomal RNA". Lineage: Eukaryota; Viridiplantae; Streptophyta; Magnoliopsida; Poales; Poaceae. The record is from RNAcentral.